UAGGGAAUCUUCGGCAAUGGGGGGAACCCUGACCGAGCAACGCCGCGCGUGUGAAGAAGGUUUUCGGAUCGUAAAGCUCUGUUGUUAAGGAAGAACGAGUGUGAGAAUGGAAAGUUCAUGCUGUGACGGUACUUAACCAGAAAGGGACGGCUAACUACGUGCCAGCAGCCGCGGUAAUACGUAGGUCCCGAGCGUUGUCCGGAUUUAUUGGGCGUAAAGCGAGCGCAGGCGGUUAGAAAAGUCUGAAGUGAAAGGCAGUGGCUCAACCAUUGUAGGCUUUGGAAACUGGUUAACUUGAGUGCAGAAGGGGAGAGUGGAAUUCCAUGUGGGGCGGUGAAAUGCGUAGAUAUAUGGAGGAACACCGGUGGCGAAAGCGGCUCUCUGGUCUGUAACUGACGCUGGGGCUCGAAAGCGUGGGGGGCGAACAGG
This 429-nucleotide ribosomal RNA is filed under the name Bacteroidota bacterium. Its description in RNAcentral is "Bacteroidetes bacterium partial 16S ribosomal RNA". It matches the Rfam family "Bacterial small subunit ribosomal RNA", at positions 355 to 776 of the family's 1533-position model. The record is from RNAcentral. Lineage: Bacteria; Pseudomonadati; Bacteroidota.